This is a long non-coding RNA of Oncorhynchus tshawytscha (Chinook salmon), 599 nucleotides long. NCBI's taxonomy places the organism in Eukaryota, Metazoa, Chordata, Actinopteri, Salmoniformes, Salmonidae. The record is from Ensembl.
GCCGUCUAUGCAUACAGUUGGAUUUUAUUUAACCUUUAUUUAACUAGGCAAGGCAGUUAAUUAAGAACAAAUUCUUAUCUACAAUGACGGCCUAACCCGGACAACAUUGGGCCAAUUGUGCGCUGCCCUAUGGUAAUCACGGCCGGUUGUGAUACAGCCUGGAAUCGAACCGGGGUCUGUAGUGAUUCCUCCAGCACUGAGAUGCAGUGCCUUUAGACCGCUGCGCCACUCGGGGGAAAUAGUAGGCAGCAUCUUCUUGAUGUGUGCAACAGUUCAACAUUCUCCUUCUACUACCAUUUCUGUCAAACCAUCUACACAUACAGUUUGAUCACAUACAUUCGAUAAAUCCAACGUACUGUAUGAACCACACAGAACACACUGCAACUGCCUCUGCAACGCUAUGCUGCAAAGGAAACGCAGCGCUUCAUUGGAAAUUAAUGUAGUUCCGGUUUACCAAAAUGCUAUGACGCUGUCGGUGUGUUCGAGGCGUAAGAGCAGUGACUCCGUCGGUGUGUUCGAGGCGUAAGAGCAGUGACUCCGUCGGUGUGUUCGAGGCGUAAGGGCAGGGGACAGCACAGUGACGCUGUCGGUGUGUUCGG